GAUGCUCGGCUCUGCUGCCUGGAGACACAAACACAAGAGGAGAUGCAGAGCAGGAGGUUCAGACGGAGCGAGUCGUCGUCUCCGGAUCAUUAUGACAGCACGCUCAUUUUAAACAACUGGACAGUCCAACUCAGUCCAGUUCUCCUGUUCAGUCAAUGGUUCUCCCUCUGCAGGAAUGUGGAUCUCCUCCCUGGAUGAAGGAGAUCUUCAUCCUCGUCAUCAUUUACAAAAAUGUUUGUUUGUGUGUCGUUGUUGUUCAUUAAACCGUGUUUGUUUUGCUACUUGACAUAAACACAAACAAACAAACA
Oryzias melastigma (Indian medaka) is the source of this 308-nucleotide long non-coding RNA. RefSeq lists it as uncharacterized. The transcript is spliced from 2 exons. The record is from RefSeq and is a predicted model, not a curated record. NCBI's taxonomy places the organism in Eukaryota, Metazoa, Chordata, Actinopteri, Beloniformes, Adrianichthyidae.